CCUUACGGAGCCAGCAGUGAGGAAUAUUGGACAAUGGGCGCAAGCCUGAUCCAGCGACGCCGCGUGAGUGAUGAAGGCCUUUGGUUCGUAAAGCUCUGUCAGCAGGAAGAACGGCCGUGUGGUUAAUACCCAUGCGGAUUGACGGUACCUGCAGAGAAGCACCGGCUAACUCCGUGCCAGCAGCCGCGGUAAUACGGAGGGUGCGAGCGUUAAUCGGAAUUACUGGGCGUAAAGGGCGCGUAGGCGGCUGAUCAAGUCAGAUGUGAAAGCCCACGGCUUAACCGUGUGAAGUGCAUCUGAAACUGGUCGGCUUGAGUAUCGGAGGGGAAAGUGGAAUUCCCGGUGUAGAGGUGAAAUUCGUAGAUAUCGGGAGGAAUACCGGUGGCGAAGGCGAUUUUCUGGACGAAUACUGACGCUGAGGCGCGAAAGCGUGGGGAGCAAACAGGAUUAGAUACCCUGGUAGUCCACAGCUGUAAACGAUGUGCACUAGAUGUGGGGAAGUGUUGACCUUUCCUGUGUCGCAGCUAACGCAUUAAGUGCACCGCCUGGGGAGUACGGCCGCAAGGUUAAAACUCAAAGGAAUUGACGG
RNAcentral lists this ribosomal RNA (589 nucleotides) under uncultured bacterium. Its description in RNAcentral is "bacterial SSU rRNA". It matches the Rfam family "Bacterial small subunit ribosomal RNA", at positions 338 to 916 of the family's 1533-position model. The record is from RNAcentral.